GCGACCAGGAUUAGAUCUUCUAUUGGAGGAGGUCACAAGAUAGGCGGAGCAGGUGCGUGGUUUUACCUCUCCUUUACUAUUAUGUAAUUUAAAGUCUUCCUGAUGAAUACAAUUACAAUUAAGUUAUGUUUAAUGCAAACAAAGUCUGGUGUAUUAACAAGAUUAACUUUGGCUAAUGGCAUCCGUAAUAGGAUUGCCGGGAAAUGAAUCUCAAGAUUAGCUUCGGCUAAUGACAUCCGUGAUAGGAUUUCCAGGAAGUGAAUUAUAAGAUUAGCUUCAGCUAAUAACAUCCACGUCGAGAUGCUUGGGAACAAACGAUAAGGCUCGAUUCGUAAAAGGUAUCCAUGUUUGGAUGACCUGAGAGAAUUGAUAAGUAUAAUUGCCUAAACUAUCCAAGUGGGACUAUGCAAAGUUGAAGAUUUAAUAAAACCAAUUAGGCAAAAUUACUAGGUUCAUGCAAGAAAAUAAAAGUAUUCAAUUAAGAAUACGUAAAUGAUGUCUAAUUGAGUUUUUAAAUGAGUAUAUAUAUAAGAAUUUAUAAGUUGAUUAUUAGAAUUCUUGGGAAACUAAUAGAAAACUUAUGCUUUAUUUGUAUUCAUUAUAUGAUCAUUUUUGUUUCUACUGACAACAUAAUUGUAUGCUUAUUAAAUCGUCGUUGUAACAGGUCCAUCUAAUACCCAGGGAGCUCAUCAGUUUUUAGGACUCUGUUUUGCUAAGCUUAUGUAAAAAAAAAAAAAAGAGCUCAAGCAUAAUAGUAUUAGCUAGGUUAUGCAAUAUGCUUUUGUGUAAACUUUGAUGUAUAUAAAACUCUUGGCUCAGCAUGUAGUAUAUUAAUUAUGUAAACUCUGAUAUAAUGUAUGAAUCAUAACUCCUUAGCUACCUUAUAUUUAGCCCUUUGAAAUUUUUAAGAAUACUGGUGUUAUGUUUUAAAUUCUCU
Molecule: long non-coding RNA, 937 nt
Filed under: Populus trichocarpa (black cottonwood)
Lineage: Eukaryota; Viridiplantae; Streptophyta; Magnoliopsida; Malpighiales; Salicaceae
Description: long non-coding RNA (PTRI_LNC000850)
Source: RNAcentral